UACGUAGGGUGCAAGCGUUGUCCGGAAUUAUUGGGCGUAAAGAGCUCGUAGGCGGUUUGUUGCGUCGGCUGUGAAAUCCCGAGGCUCAACCUCGGGUCUGCAGUCGAUACGAGCAAACUAGAGUGUUGCAGGGGAGACUGGAAUUCCUGGUGAUAGCGGUGAAAUGCGCAGAUAUCAGGAGGAACACCGGUGGCGAAGGCGGGUCUCUGGGCAACACUGACGCUGGAGGAGCGAAAGCGUCGGGGAGC
This 248-nucleotide ribosomal RNA is filed under the name uncultured bacterium. RNAcentral describes it as "partial 16S ribosomal RNA". It matches the Rfam family "Bacterial small subunit ribosomal RNA", at positions 524 to 769 of the family's 1533-position model. The record is from RNAcentral.